This 465-nucleotide ribosomal RNA is filed under the name uncultured bacterium. RNAcentral's name for it is "partial 16S ribosomal RNA". It matches the Rfam family "Bacterial small subunit ribosomal RNA", at positions 28 to 507 of the family's 1533-position model. The record is from RNAcentral.
GACGAACGCUGGCGGCGUGCUUAACACAUGCAAGUCGAACGGAAAGGCCCCUUUGGGGGUCCUCGAGUGGCGAACGGGUGAGUAACACGUGAGUAACCUGCCCUUGACUUCGGGAUAACUUCAUGAAACUGGGGCUAAUACCGGAUAGGAAUCCUUGCUGCAUGGUGUGGGUUGGAAAGCUUCGGCGGUUUUGGAUGGACUCGCGGCUUAUCAGCGUGUUGGUGGGGUAGUGGCUUACCAAGGCUUUGACGGGUAGCCGGCCUGAGAGGGCGACCGGCCACAUUGGGACUGAGAUACGGCCCAGACUCCUACGGGAGGCAGCAGUGGGGAAUAUUGCACAAUGGGCGGAAGCCUGAUGCAGCAACGCCGCGUGCGGGAUGACGGCCUUCGGGUUGUAAACCGCUUUCAGCAGGGGCGAAGCUUGUGGUGACGGUACCUGCAGAAGAAGCACCGGCUAACUACGUG